Molecule: ribosomal RNA, 92 nt
Filed under: Nocardioides islandensis
Lineage: Bacteria; Bacillati; Actinomycetota; Actinomycetes; Propionibacteriales; Nocardioidaceae
Also listed under: 1 other name
Source: RNAcentral
CACCCGGACCCAUCCCGAACCCGGAAGUUAAGCCUGCCAGCGCCGAUGGUACUGCCCCCGAGAGGGCGUGGGAGAGUAGGACGCCGCCGAAC